AACGAACGCUGGCGGCAUGCCUAACACAUGCAAGUCGAACGAGACCUUCGGGUCUAGUGGCGCACGGGUGCGUAACGCGUGGGAAUCUGCCCUUGGGUUCGGAAUAACAGUUGGAAACGACUGCUAAUACCGGGUGAUGACGUAAGUCCAAAGAUUUAUCGCCCAAGGAUGAGCCCGCGUAGGAUUAGCUAGUUGGUGAGGUAAAGGCUCACCAAGGCGACGAUCCUUAGCUGGUCUGAGAGGAUGAUCAGCCACACUGGGACUGAGACACGGCCCAGACUCCUACGGGAGGCAGCAGUGGGGAAUAUUGGACAAUGGGCGAAAGCCUGAUCCAGCAAUGCCGCGUGAGUGAUGAAGGCCUUAGGGUUGUAAAGCUCUUUUACCCGGGAUGAUAAUGACAGUACCGGGAGAAUAAGCUCCGGCUAACUCCGUG
RNAcentral lists this ribosomal RNA (433 nucleotides) under uncultured bacterium. Its description in RNAcentral is "partial 16S ribosomal RNA". It matches the Rfam family "Bacterial small subunit ribosomal RNA", at positions 29 to 507 of the family's 1533-position model. The record is from RNAcentral.